This 993-nucleotide ribosomal RNA is filed under the name Clostridioides difficile. RNAcentral describes it as "partial 23S ribosomal RNA". It matches the Rfam family "Bacterial large subunit ribosomal RNA", at positions 1700 to 2703 of the family's 2925-position model. Lineage: Bacteria; Bacillati; Bacillota; Clostridia; Peptostreptococcales; Peptostreptococcaceae. The record is from RNAcentral.
UGUUGUUAAGGAACUCGGCAAAAUGACCCCGUAACUUAGGGAUAAGGGGUGCCACCAUCAGGUGGCCGCAGAGAAUAGGCCCAAGCGACUGUUUACCAAAAACAUAGGUUUCUGCUAAGUCGCAAGACGAUGUAUAGGAGCUGACGCCUGCCCGGUGCUGGAAGGUUAAGGGGAUCUGUUAGAGCAAUCGAAGCAGUGAACUUAAGCCCCAGUAAACGGCGGCCGUAACUAUAACGGUCCUAAGGUAGCGAAAUUCCUUGUCGGGUAAGUUCCGACCCGCACGAAAGGCGUAACGAUUUGGGCACUGUCUCAACAACAGACUCGGUGAAAUUGUAAUUCCGGUGAAGAUGCCGGAUACCUGCGACAGGACGGAAAGACCCCAUGGAGCUUUACUGUAGCUUGACAUUGGGUCUUGGUACUACAUGUACAGGAUAGGUGGGAGGCUUUGAAACCAGGACGCCAGUUUUGGCGGAGCCAUCCUUGGGAUACCACCCUUGUAGUACUGGGACUCUAACCAUAGGCCAUGAAUCUGGUCUUGGGACACUGUCAGGUGGGCAGUUUGACUGGGGCGGUCGCCUCCCAAAAGGUAACGGAGGCGCUCAAAGGUUCUCUCAGUACGGUCGGAAAUCGUACGUAGAGUGUAAAGGCAAAAGAGAGCUUGAUUGCAAGACAUACAGGUCGAGCAAGGAUGAAAAUCGGACUUAGUGAUCCGGUGGUUCUGCGUGGAAGGGCCAUCGCUCAACGGAUAAAAGCUACCCUGGGGAUAACAGGCUUAUCUCCCCCAAGAGUCCACAUCGACGGGGAGGUUUGGCACCUCGAUGUCGGCUCAUCACAUCCUGGGGCUGUAGUAGGUCCCAAGGGUUGGGCUGUUCGCCCAUUAAAGUGGUACGCGAGCUGGGUUCAGAACGUCGUGAGACAGUUCGGUCCCUAUCCGUCGCAGGCGUAGGAAAUUUGAGAAGACCUGUCCUUAGUACGAGAGGACCGGGAUGGACG